CCUACGGGCGGCUGCAGUAGGGAAUAUUGGGCAAUGGAUGCAAGUCUGACCCAGCCAUGCCGCGUGCAGGAAGAAGGUCCUCUGGAUUGUAAACUGCUUUUUUGGGGGAAGAAUAGUUUUCUUGCGAGGAAAUGUGACGGUACCCUAAGAAUAAGCCACGGCUAACUACGUGCCAGCAGCCGCGGUAAUACGUAGGUGGCAAGCGUUGUCCGGAUUUAUUGGGUUUAAAGGGUGCGUAGGUGGUUUGAUAAGUCAGUGGUGAAAGCCGGUUGCUCAACAAUCGAGUUGCCAUUGAUACUGUCGGACUUGAGAGAAGUGGAGGUUCAUGGAAUGGAUGGUGUAGCGGUGAAAUGCAUAGAUAUCAUCCAGAACGUCGAUUGCGAAGGCAGUGGGCUGUACUUUAUCUGACACUGAGGCACGAAAGUGUGGGGAUCAAACAGGAUUAGAUACCCCUGUAGUC
This 460-nucleotide ribosomal RNA is filed under the name uncultured bacterium. RNAcentral's name for it is "bacterial SSU rRNA". It matches the Rfam family "Bacterial small subunit ribosomal RNA", at positions 338 to 795 of the family's 1533-position model. The record is from RNAcentral.